RNAcentral lists this long non-coding RNA (1006 nucleotides) under Heterocephalus glaber (naked mole-rat). RNAcentral's name for it is "lncRNA (ENSHGLG00000039467.1)". The record is from RNAcentral. Lineage: Eukaryota; Metazoa; Chordata; Mammalia; Rodentia; Bathyergidae.
GGAAAGCACAUUGGUGUUAUCCAGGAGGUGUGGAGGAAGACUCCAGCUCUAAAAUUAGUCCAGCUUCCAGGCCCGGGGACCGGGAGCGCCCUCCAGCUUGCCACGAAUUCCCCGCAUCCCCCGCCCGCUCGCCCCCUCAUCCCUGCACCGCGCCCGCUCGGAGAUCGCCAGUCAGCCCCGACGCACGCGGACGCCUCUCUCCCCCUCGCCCCUUGCGUUAGCGGUUUGGGAGGAGGAGCCCACGAGAGAAGCAGUGAGAGGGGGGAGAGGCGAGGGGCCGUGCGUCGGCGUCUUCUGUGAUGGGGAACUCGGAGCGGUAGGAGGCGAGCAGUAGCGGCGCGGCUGCAGCUCUGAGCGGACCCGAGAGCCCGCGCUCCUCCCGGCAGGCUGCGCUGUGAUCCGGGCUGCGGAUUGGGAUCUAGCUCCCCCGACCCUCUCCUCCACCGCUGUUCCCUUCCUCCGCCUGCGAACCUGCUGCGGUGGCGUCUGGAGCGCCGAGCGCCGAGCGCCUCGGCUCGCUUCCCCAGGCCCGGGAGCGCGCGCGGGCACUGCGGCGGCAGCGGCUGGGAGGCCGGCUCGCCGUAGGCGAGAGCGCCGGGGGAAGACCACGGGAAAGCGCCUGGUGGAGCCGUGGAUCUCCGGCUGAGGCAAGGCUUCAUAUGCAAGAGCGAAGCAUGAAAAGAUGGUGUCAUUAUGAUGAAGCAGAUUUAAACGUAGUGCAAACGCCUCAUAAAAUCUUGCAAUGCUGACAGCCAGCCUUCCUCCAGUGACGGAGGCUCUUGCCUCCCAUGCAUGGAAUUCCCUGGAAAGAAUUUACAACCAAGAAGAGGUUUUAGUAUUAAUUAAACAAUGAGAUGCCACUCUUGCAAAUAACUAUGGAUACCAUUAACUGAUCACAAAUCUAUAAUUCUGGCAUAAGAUAGAGUAGAUUUUCAUCUGUCUUGGAGGAUUGUUUUAUAUUACCUGUAAUUCAUAAUGCAUGAUGGGAUGUCUCUGAUAUCUUUUG